This 3221-nucleotide long non-coding RNA is filed under the name Sus scrofa (pig). Its description in RNAcentral is "lncRNA (ENSSSCG00025076160.1)". Lineage: Eukaryota; Metazoa; Chordata; Mammalia; Artiodactyla; Suidae. The record is from RNAcentral.
GGACUGUCUUAACCACUCUUAACUAGGUUCCUGGUCUUCUUUUGAAGCUCAGGCUCCUGAAUCAGUCACAAUGUGGCUCUGGGAUGUACAGGGGGCACAGACUGUGGGCGGUCCUAGAACUCAAACAGAGGGGUCUGAACUUGGCCCAAGAGUCAUACCCCAAGGCGUGAGAGCUCCUGAAACAGGAGAGGGUUUUAUGCAAGCUGUGUUUCAUAGUGAUCAUCUUUAUCUAUGUAAAUUCAUAUUGUGGAUAACUGUUCCUCUGGGAGACCAACUGGAAAGAUUUUAAUAAUUUCAGUAAAUAUUGAAACCCUAAGCCAAGAUGGAGCUCAGGAAAAAAACAGCAACAUGUUGAGAUAAUCUAAAGGGAAGAAACCAAAAUGUUAUAGGAGUUUGAUUUUGAAAAAGAAUCAGGAGGCAUUUCUGGCCCUUACUGUCAUCUCUAGGAAAAGUUGUGUUAGAUCCAAUCCAUGCUAAUUACUUGUUCACUCCUAAUUGUGAAAAGUGUAUGGAAAGAAUGGCACACAAAGUCCUUUUCAGAAACUGAAGGCAUUGUGUUAUUAGCCAAAUCCCCUUUGAUUAAAAGAAGUACAUGUUAUUCGUCCUCAAUGUGGGAUGAACACCGAACAUUUACAAACUACCAGAAAGGAGGUCUUUAUUGCUUUACUGGCCAAUCAAGUCCUGAAAAAGCCUGAGAGGGUGGUCAGGGUUUUGAACUAAGUGCUGGAAAAAUGGCCUUGGCCUUUUCUUCCUGGAAAUGUCCCACUUGACCUUGACUGGGAGGUUGUAUGACAUGAGAAAGCACAGACACUGUGAAGACAGAGGUCAUGCCCUUGGAGCAUAAAGUCCAUGACUGUGACCUUUCACUUGUAUGUCUGGAAACUGUGCCUCUGUGAGUACAGAGCCAGCUGCUGCUCACAGCACUCAGUGCAGUCCAUGUGCCUUGCUGCAGGUCAGCCACCGUAUGUGAAAGGAUGCUGGGUGAGGACCCUGGGGGAGGGGGGAGUCUCUGACAUCACUUAAAGGACCCUAUGCCACACACCAAGGUCCACACAGCAUCUUGUGAGCAGAAAUGGGGAAAGAGGAGAGACUUCAAGGGGCUGCAAAGGUCAACACAAACAUGCAAAGCAGAAGCAUAUUUAUUUGAUUUUUUUCUAAUCAUCAGAUCUCUCUGAAGUGUAAAGGUAACAUUAAAAUUCUUAAAAGGUUCUGGUCAUAAUAAACAGUGAUAUUUUUAAACUGAGAUUUGCAUUACCAUGUAUUUGCAGUUAUAGUGUUGUUUUAAAAUUGUAUCAUAAUGGGAGUUCCUCUCGUGGCUCAGUGGUUAAUGAAUCCGACUAGGAACCAUGAGGUUGUGGGUUUGAUCCCUGGCCUUGCUCAGUGGGUUGAGGAUCUGGCAUUGCCAUGAGCUGUGGUGUAGGCUCAGAUCCUGCAUUGCUCUGGCUCUAGUGUAGGCCGGCGGCUACAGCUCCAAUUCAACCCCUAGCCUGGGAACCUCCAUAUGUCGCAGGAGCAGCCCAAGAAAUGGCAAAAAGACAAAAAAAUAAAAUAAAAUAAAAUUGUAUGAUAAUAUAUUUAGAUGGAACACAGGCUCUAUGGGAAAAUAUACUGGGAGAACUUGUUAUUAAUUUCCUUGAAAUAAAGUUUAAAAGUAUAUUAUGUAGGAGAAAUUUAGAAAGAUAGUAGAGGAGGAAGCACCAGAAUUGGUGUUCCCACCUAGGAAACAUUUACACUGGCAGAACCUGUCUAAUGCAACUAACUAGGAACUCUGGAGUCUAUUGAAGGCUUGCAACAUCCAGGGGAAGACUCCAGCAAUACAUUAUGGUUAAUUUGGGUCAAUCUCAGCUCCUAACACAGUAGCAAGUACCAAUCUCCUAUUCCCCUGCUCAGGGCAGACAGCAGUUUACAUGCUUCCUGAGCAGUUUGAACGCAGCCUGCAGGAGCCAUGGUGGGCAAAAAGGACCCUGUUCUCCAAAUAUUGGAACUCUCUGCUCUGAUCACUGAUUGCUGCUUCUUAUCUCAGAGUGCAGACAAAGAGACAGGCAGUGACCGUGCUUGUUGCCCCUCACCUCAUGGUGGAAAGCCCCUCUCUCUCUGGCUGAAGUGACAUCCAUGAGAUUUAGAGAGAUGGUGCCUUUUCCUCCUCUUUGUUUUACUCUUCCCCUUUGGGGAGACAGACAUUGAAAACUAGGAUAGUAAAGCACAAUUACAUAUAUGGAGAAAAUAAGAAAGUCACUACACAACCCCAAGAUAAGAUGUGGACUCAGAAAAGACUUGAUGAGACCUUAUAUUUACUCUCAAGGUGGUUCCCAGCACAGAGACAGACUAAAAUGUUCUCCACACACACACACACACACAGGAAAACUCUGGGGAAGGGGGAGGAUCUGACUCCCAGAGUUAUCAUAUUAUUUGAUUUAAAUGUCCACUUUUCAACCAAAAAAAAAAAAAAAUCACCAGGCAUGCAAACCAAACCAAACCAGAUAUAUAUGACUCAUGCAAAGGAAAAUAAUAAACCCACAAACACUGUCCCUGGAAAAGAUGUAAUGACAGAUCUUCUGGACAAAUACCUGAAGAAAAAUUACCUUAAAGAUGUUCAAAGAACUAAAAGAAGAUACAGAGAAAGUUGAGAAAAUAAUGUAUGCAUAAAAUGUACAUGUAAAUAAGAUAGAAAACUUGAAAAAGAAAUUAGGAACUCAAAGGUACAAUCAUUAAAAUUUAAAAUUUACUGGAAGGAUUCAAAGGUGAUUUUGAGCAGGCAGAUGAAAGCAUCGGUGAAUUCAAAGAUAAGGGAAUGGAAAUUAUCUGGUCUGAGGAAGAGACAGAAAAAAAGAGAGAUUAUAGAAAAACAAAGAAAGCCUAUGGGAGCUGUGAGAUACCAUAAAGCUGCCCAAUAUAUUCCUCCUGGUGGGAGUCCCAGAAGAAGAAAUAAAGGGACAAAGACUAGUUGAAGACAGAAUAGCUGAAAACUUGCAAAAUUUGAUGAAAGACGUCAUUGUAACCAUCCAAGAAACAAGUAAUUCCAUGUAGAAUGAACUCAAAGAGAUCCCCACUGGAACACAUCACGCUCAACCUGUCAAAAGGCCAACACAGAAAGAGUAUUUUGAAAGCAUCGAGAGAGAAGGGACUGAGUACAUCCAAGGAGUCCUUAAUAGAUUAUCAGCAGACUUCUCAUCAGAAACUUCAGAGGCCAGAAAGCAGUGAGCUAGUAUAAUCAAAGCACA